AUGCCGUGUUCCCUAAUUUUUUUUUUUCUGUGUAUUUCAACACAGGUGUACAAAAAUGUGCUAACUUUACUACUUUGUCAUACACUGGCAACUUCUGUAACAUUUAGGGACUAGAUGUUGCAAAAUUUGGACUUGUCUGUUAUAUACACUAUAUGCACAGCAAAACAAAACCCACAAAACAUACAGAAAAAUUAUGUCUCAAAAUGUCCAAGUACAAGUGCACUAACAUAAUACCUUUGCAAUUGCUUCCCUCCUACCUCCUCCAAACCACUGAACAAGUACAGACAGUACCAUACUGCUCAAGAGGUGGUUUAACCAUUCCAUUUCCAUCAACAUUUCUUAUGAACUUUAGCAAGAUAUUUACAAAGUGAUAUUUUACUACCUCUACAUUUAACAUACUUUGGGCACUUCUAAACAUCUAGAAAAGACUAGAUGAUUCAAGUAGGGACUCAAUUUGUCCAUUAUAUAUACACAGCAGUCGAUUAAACUGCAUAUAUGUAACAAUAGUUGAAAGUGUCUUGGAAAUAUGAGCAUUUUAGUCUAGAACCCUUCCAAAAUGCUCAAAUUUUCAGAAGACAAACUUUCCUGGAAUUUUAAUACAAAAUGUACAAAAUUUGUUAGUUUACUAACUCCACCUUUGUCAAAACUGGCAACCUCUUUAACAUCUAGCAAGACUAGAUGUUGUAUAAGGUCUCAUUUAUCUUUUACAUACCCUACAUACACAGCAAAGUAAAAAUGCACAGACAUAAGGGGCAAUAGUAACUUGCCUUGCUAUAAGUGCACUAGCACAGCGCUCUAUUUCCUUCUCUUCCGAGAACCAGUGCAUAAACAAUGUGUACUACUCAAGAGGGGGUUUGCCUACUCCCCCACAAAAUAACACUUCAUGUGAGUUCUAACAAAAAGAAAUUUACAAAAUGUGUUAUUUUACUACUACUACUUUUUAACAUGUAUCAGGCACUUGAGAAUUAUCUCAAAAGACCAGAUGGUUCAAUAAAGUACUUAGCAUUGUCAGUUAUAUACAUACUAAUGAGGACUAAAAUGCACACACAAAACAAUGGUUACAAUACAAACAACGUCUUCUACAUGUAACCAGUCUGGUACUGGACAUUCUUCUGUCUUCUCCAAGUCCUCUAACAGAACAAAUGCAGACAAGAAUCACCCCUAGUGUCGCUUCUCCAGGUGGUCUACCCAUAUUCAUUUCAAAGUCACUCUCAGAAAACGUUUCUUUUCUGUCAUUUUUUUAAAAUAAAUGGGCGUUUCCAAGACGUGUGGGUUUUCUAACUUCUUUAUCCCAGGUCGGCACCUUCUUUACUUCUAUAUUGUCCACAUGCAGCAAGUUUUCUUUUAAAAGGUUGGGGGAAUGUUGAGAGCAGCUUUUUCAUAUUAUAUACACAGGCCUUCUGAAAAUGGCCAGUAAAUCUUCCCAAAAGGUAGUGGGCAUUUCCAAUUAGCCAAAGGUGGAAUGUUACUUUAAGUUUCUCUCUUUGGCAACUGCCCAUGGCCCGCCAUUCUUUCCACCUGUCCUCGGCCUGAGCUCCCUCACCUUCUAGGGCGGGUAAGGCCUUUAUUCGUCCUCGUCGCAAGGAGCUGCGGUCUCCUCCACAAAUGGAACACAGCCGUCACCUCAGGACCCGGAUCUGCGCAGUUCUAGGGCCAGAAGUGGCUGAGCUUUCGGACCCGCCUUCUCCGGCCCUUGAUGUAACCACAUUCUGCUGCGGUCCAGAGGCCGCCAUUCUUCUCACCACGCCUCGCUCCAGCCGCUGCAAGGCGCCACGUCCUCGACUGCUGGAGGGGGCUUUGCCAAGGCCAGCAAGGCUGGACCGGGAGACCCUUCCGUCUGAGGGGUUCUGGCUCCGAGGCCACCGCCGUGGCCGUCAGGUCAUCGAAGUGGAGUGGGGGAGCAGUUCGCCUGUUCUUCAAAGCCUGGGCCCAGCCAGUGGGCAAUCACAGCGAGGGAUCGAAGAGGCUGCAGGGCAGAGGCACGGCCCAUCCUCGGGCCCCC
Molecule: long non-coding RNA, 2002 nt
Filed under: Heterocephalus glaber (naked mole-rat)
Lineage: Eukaryota; Metazoa; Chordata; Mammalia; Rodentia; Bathyergidae
Description: lncRNA (ENSHGLG00000039246.1)
Source: RNAcentral